This 222-nucleotide long non-coding RNA is filed under the name Fukomys damarensis (Damara mole-rat). RNAcentral's name for it is "lncRNA (ENSFDAG00000027572.1)". The record is from RNAcentral. Lineage: Eukaryota; Metazoa; Chordata; Mammalia; Rodentia; Bathyergidae.
CCGCCGCCACCCCCUCAACCCUCGCCCCCAAGAAUACAGGGAUUAAUGAGCAACAUUCUCUGCGAUAGAGAAACAAGGUUCUGUAGGAACACCAAAAUUCAAAAGGCAGUGACCUCAACAAGGAUCCUGGGGGCGAGGAGGAGGGAGGACGGGUUUCACCGAAGGCGGUCUCCACUUCCGCGGACUCCGGUUACUACGGGCUACCAGGCACGCGUCGAGUGA